GAGGGCAUGGCUCAAGUGGUAGAGUGCGUGCUUAGCAAGCACAAGGUCCUGGGUUCAAUCCCCAGUCCCUCCU
Molecule: transfer RNA, 73 nt
Organism: Camelus ferus (Wild Bactrian camel)
Lineage: Eukaryota; Metazoa; Chordata; Mammalia; Artiodactyla; Camelidae
Rfam family: tRNA
About the family: Transfer RNA (tRNA) molecules are approximately 80 nucleotides in length. Their secondary structure includes four short double-helical elements and three loops (D, anti-codon, and T loops).
Source: Rfam